Molecule: non-coding RNA, 21 nt
Filed under: Caenorhabditis elegans
Lineage: Eukaryota; Metazoa; Nematoda; Chromadorea; Rhabditida; Rhabditidae
Source: RNAcentral
UAGGUCCCUUCUUGGAAGUAA